GCCGAGCUCAUUAACGAGAGCCUGUAACCCGAGUGGGGGCAUGAAAGUGAUGGAACAUUGAUUCAACUCCAAAGGGUUGGGUUCAAUGUGGCUAGUCUCUGGCCUGCCCGUUCCAAGCAGUGAGUUGGCUCUUAUGGCUUUAGCGAAGGCUCAGACCAUAUGAGUCCUAAAUUGGCGGGUAAUGCGUGAGGCUGGCUUCACAGAGCAGCGACAACCGCCUGCUUCCUGCAGUGGAAGGAUAACAUGUCGGUGCCACUUGGAUCCGUUUGGCCUAAUGGGCUGGUUUAACUGGACCAUCAUUUUU
RNAcentral lists this signal recognition particle RNA (304 nucleotides) under Jatropha curcas. Its description in RNAcentral is "Plant signal recognition particle RNA". It matches the Rfam family "Plant signal recognition particle RNA". The record is from Rfam by way of RNAcentral. Lineage: Eukaryota; Viridiplantae; Streptophyta; Magnoliopsida; Malpighiales; Euphorbiaceae.